AACAAAAUGCCUGAUUAAAGGAUUAUUUUGAUAGAAUAAAUUAUGUAAUUUUUUUUACUUUUGUUA
Molecule: transfer RNA, 66 nt
Filed under: Crataraea suturalis
Lineage: Eukaryota; Metazoa; Arthropoda; Insecta; Coleoptera; Staphylinidae
Description: tRNA-Ile
Source: RNAcentral